Molecule: small nucleolar RNA, 111 nt
Filed under: Mus caroli (Ryukyu mouse)
Lineage: Eukaryota; Metazoa; Chordata; Mammalia; Rodentia; Muridae
Description: predicted gene, 26013 (MGP_CAROLIEiJ_G0036513.1)
Rfam family: Small nucleolar RNA SNORA17
About the family: snoRNA ACA 17 belongs to the H/ACA family of snoRNAs and is predicted to guide pseudouridylation of the 28S rRNA at positions U4659 and U4598. It shares the same host gene together with ACA43.
Source: RNAcentral
CCUGCCCCGGUGAGGCUGCUCUGUCACAUGUGGGUCAGCAGGUGGCAGAGAGAUGUGUCUACACUCAGUGCUCUGACCUGUGAACAUCUGAAUGAUUGGCAGCUUAAGAUU